This 281-nucleotide unclassified non-coding RNA is filed under the name Bombus terrestris (buff-tailed bumblebee). Its description in RNAcentral is "misc RNA ENSBTSG00005030064.1". The record is from RNAcentral. Lineage: Eukaryota; Metazoa; Arthropoda; Insecta; Hymenoptera; Apidae.
AAUCUUUCGAAUCGUCGACUUAUUCUCAGAACUUUUUGUAACGAUUGCGUGAGUUCUACGUUAGGCGGUUUUAAGAGGAGACGCGACGCAAUUGGAAGCACGCGGCAGAAAAUUUCGGUACAGACCAAGAGGAACGUAACAGUCGAAAUAUAUGUCAUACGUGGGAACCAAGGUCGAAACAAAAAUUCCAGGCACACGAUACAACAUCGACACGACAGAAACGCUUCCUGCUAUCUGUGAAUAGAACGCGGAGAAUUACGUUCGGUCGCUGGAAGUCAACC